This 317-nucleotide small nuclear RNA is filed under the name Myotis davidii. RNAcentral describes it as "7SK RNA". It matches the Rfam family "7SK RNA". From Rfam's summary of the family: 7SK was discovered as an abundant small nuclear RNA in the mid-70s but a possible function has only recently been suggested. Two independent studies have found that 7SK RNA binds the CDK9/cyclin T complex (known as elongation factor P-TEFb). The record is from Rfam by way of RNAcentral. Lineage: Eukaryota; Metazoa; Chordata; Mammalia; Chiroptera; Vespertilionidae.
GGAUGUGCGGGCGAUACGGCUGCGACAUCUGUCACCCCAUUGAUCGCCAGGGUUCAUUCGGCUGAUCUGGCUGGCUAGGCAGGUGUCCCCCUCCUCCCUCACCGAUCCAUGUGCAUCCCUCCUGAAGCUGCGCGCUCAGUAGAAGAGGAUGACCUUCCCCCCAGAGGAGAGGACCAAUCUUCGGUCAAGGGUAUACGAGUAGCUGCACUCCCCUGCUAGAACCUGCAAACAAGCUCUCAAGAAUUCAUUCAUAGUGACUAUAGUUAAUACUGCUGUAUAUAUUAGAGAAUUGCUAAGACAGGAGAUCUUAAAAGUUC